This 560-nucleotide long non-coding RNA is filed under the name Equus asinus (donkey). RNAcentral describes it as "lncRNA (ENSEASG00005025335.1)". The record is from RNAcentral. Lineage: Eukaryota; Metazoa; Chordata; Mammalia; Perissodactyla; Equidae.
CUGAGGUGGACUUGGGGAUGGACAAAUAGAUGAGAGCCCAGAAAUAGAAACAUAUUGGGGAAUUUGGUAUAAAACAGAAGUAGAUACAUAUUGGGGAAUUUGGUAUAAAUCAGUAGGGAAUCAGUGAGGAAAGGAUUUAAUAAACGAGGCUAUAAACAUUGGUUUGCCUUAAGGAGAAAAUAAUUAUAUCCCUGGAUUAUAUCUCUAUCUCACAUCAUACAAAAAUUUCAGAUAGAUAUGUCUUAAAUGUAAAUAGCAAAACUAAAAACACUUUACAAGAAAACAGGGGACAAUAACUUCAUGAUUUUAGGGUAGGAAAAGAUUUCUUAAACAAGAACACAGGAAUACAAGAUGAAAAGGCAACAACUAUAAGGGAAAUAUUGAUAAAUUUGACAACUUAACAUUAAAAACUGUAAUCCAAAAGACAAUCUCCAGAUUUGGAGAAGAUAUUUGCAAUAUUUCAGCAGAAGAUUCAUAUCCAGAAUAUUCGAAGGCCAUCUACCAAUAGUGAGGAUUGUUUCAAAUAAAGCUGUCUGAUGUAGAAAGACAUGGUUGCUAGG